GACGGAGGAUGCAAUCGUUAUCCGGAAUGAUUGGGCGUAAAGCGUUCGCAGGUGGCUGUUCAAGUCUGCUGUCAAAGACCGGGGCUUAACCCUAGAAAGGCAGUGGAAACUGGACGGCUGGAGUGCAGUAUGGGUAGAGGGAAUUCCCAGUGUAGCGGUGAAAUGCGUAGAGAUUGGGAAGAACACCGGUGGCGAAAGCGCUCUGCUGGACUGCAACUGACACGGAGGGACGAAAGCUAGGGGAGAGAAAGGG
Molecule: ribosomal RNA, 253 nt
Filed under: uncultured bacterium
Lineage: Bacteria
Description: partial 16S ribosomal RNA
Rfam family: Bacterial small subunit ribosomal RNA
Source: RNAcentral